Molecule: microRNA, 22 nt
Filed under: Apis mellifera (honey bee)
Lineage: Eukaryota; Metazoa; Arthropoda; Insecta; Hymenoptera; Apidae
Description: ame-miR-3726-5p
Source: miRBase by way of RNAcentral
AACGAGUGGUGGAUGCCAGCGU